GCCCCGGUAGUGAAAAGGACAUCACGGAGGUCUCCGGAACCUCAAGUCCGGGUUCGAUUCCCGGCCGGGGCACCA
RNAcentral lists this transfer RNA (75 nucleotides) under Binatus soli (SeqCode). RNAcentral describes it as "tRNA-Arg". It matches the Rfam family "tRNA". From Rfam's summary of the family: Transfer RNA (tRNA) molecules are approximately 80 nucleotides in length. Lineage: Bacteria; Candidatus Binatota; Binatia (SeqCode); Binatales (SeqCode); Binataceae (SeqCode). RNAcentral also lists the same sequence under 4 other names. The record is from RNAcentral.